CGGCGCUGCGGGGCCGCGCCGGGACGGAGCGGAGCGGGCUGGGGUGGGUGUGCGGGGCGGAGCGGAGCUGUGUGCGGAGCGGGGUGGGUGUGCGGGGCGGAGCGGAGCUGUGUGCGGAGCGGGGUGGGUGUGCGGGGCGGAGCGGAGCUGUGUGCGGAGUGGGUGUGCGGAGAGGAGCGGAGAUGUGUGCGGAGUGGGUGUGCGGGGCGGAGCGGAGAUGUGCGUGGAGCGGGAUAGGAUGCGGCCCGACAGCUUUUUCGGGGGAAAAAUCCCACGGCGGGCGCUCGCGCAAGAACAGCAAUGAGAAUACAAUUCUUUGGAAGGUCCAAUUUUGGUAGAGCGCAAUGAAGGCACCAGCGCGUGUUUACAAAGUGUUAGAAGUCCUGGCUCCGUUUGCUGCUCAUCUCUUUCCACAGCGCUGGAAUUUCCUGGGAAGACCCUCUGUUCCUUGGCUUCUGAGCCCUAGUGUCCUCCCAGAGGAAGGAAUAUUUUGCUUUCAGAGGAGAAGAGCCAUCACAGCAGGCUCCACAUCCCCUGAUGCUUCUCCGGAUGAAGGAAUUUGCUUGAGAGCCACAUCUGUCCCUUGCCAUGGGCUAGCCAAGAUGCUGUCUCCUGAGGGCCAGCACCAUUUCAAGAGAGAACCCCGCUCCUAAUUCAGAAAAGGAGAGAUGCCAGCCCAUCCUUUAUUCAGAAGCCCACAGACUUCCUUGGCCCCUGGAAAGGUGAAAGGUGAAAGAUUACUUCAAUGCAGAGGAAAAAUCCUUUCUGUGUCCAGACUGGCAACUAAAGAAGAGUACCUAGAAAUCAAAUCUGGAUUUGAUCCAACCUCACAUGUAGUUUCUAGAGACCUGAAAUGUUACCAUUUGAUGACUACUGUGAAUCCUGCCCAGCUCAGAGGGACUGCAGCUGCUCCAUGGCAAGGCACAGGUGAUGGGCAGGGGAGGAUGUGUCCCUGCCUCACCACGAGGCACAAGACAGUAGCCUGGCUGUCAGCAUCACCACCUGCAGCUGCCACACAGCUGUGUCUCAGCCCCAGGUGGGCUGGAGCAAGGGUGCACCCCCUCCUCCCAGCCAGCAUCCCUCUCCACUGGGUGGGCACAGGGAGCUCACUUCACUUUCUGCCAUAACAGAGGCAGGAGGCUGGAGCAAGUCCCCGCUUUGGGAAGGGGCCACAGGUCAGGUCCUACAGCUGCUGUAAAUAGUUGCAGCACUAUUUAAUUCAAUGCAGCCUUUAUUUACAUCAGCUGAUCUGGCCCCACUUCUCCUGUUUUCCUGCGCUUGUUUCCUUUAAGAUAUA
Molecule: long non-coding RNA, 1297 nt
Filed under: Chloebia gouldiae (Gouldian finch)
Lineage: Eukaryota; Metazoa; Chordata; Aves; Passeriformes; Passeridae
Description: Erythrura gouldiae (Gouldian finch) lncRNA (ENSEGOG00005001792.1)
Source: RNAcentral